AUGGCGAUGGCCAAGAUCAAUCAGGCAGCAGCUGCCGAUGGUGUGGUGGACAUGAGCGAGCUGCUCCACACAUUCGCGAAUGACAUGGCGUGCCGCAUCGUGUCGGGGAAGUUUUUCCUGAAAGAUGGUCGAAGCAAGUUGUUCCGGGAACUCAUCAAGGAUACCUCACGGUUGCUAGGCGGGUUCAAUUUGGAGGAGUACUUCCCGGCAUUGGGUAGGGUAGGAGUGCUCAAGAAGGCGGUUUGUGCCAAGGCCGAAGCAGUGUGGAACAGAUGGGCCGAUCUGUUGGACAAGGUGAUCAACGAUCGUGUAAGCAAGCGCAAGUCAACAUCUGAUCACAAGGAUGACGAUUUUGUGGAUAUUAUGUUGUCUGUCCAACAGGAGUAUGAUCUCACAAGAGAGCACAUGAAAGCUCUCCUCACAGAUGUAUUUUUUGGUGCGAUAGACAGAUCAGCUAACGCCCUCGAAUUCACCUUGGCUGAGCUCAUGAGGAAGCCACACCUGAUGGUGAAGCUACAAGAUGAGGUGAGGGGUAUUGUACCCCAAGGACAAGAAAUUAUCAGUGAAACCAACAUGAACAACAUGACGUACCUAAGAGCAGUCAUAAAAGAGUCGCUCCAGCUACAUCCUCUUGCUCCUCUCCUUGCUCCCCACCUUGCCAUGGCUGACUGCAUCAUCGAUGGAUACAUAAUUCCUGCUGGGACACGUGUGGUUGUCAAUGCAUGGGCCAUUGGUAGGGAUCCGAGCUCCUGGGAGUAUGAGGAAGAGUUCGUUCCUAAAAGAUUUACAGAUGAAGGCAGCAGUAUGCAUGUCAACUUCAAGGGGAAUGAUUUCCAGUUCUUGCCGUUCGGAGCAGGACGGAGGAUGUGCCCUGGUAUGAACCUUGGGAUCGCGAAUGUGGAGCUUAUGUUGGCAAACCUUGUGUGCCAUUUUGAC
This 936-nucleotide ribosomal RNA is filed under the name Triticum aestivum (bread wheat). RNAcentral's name for it is "partial small subunit ribosomal RNA". The record is from RNAcentral. Lineage: Eukaryota; Viridiplantae; Streptophyta; Magnoliopsida; Poales; Poaceae.